This 468-nucleotide ribosomal RNA is filed under the name uncultured bacterium. RNAcentral describes it as "partial 16S ribosomal RNA". It matches the Rfam family "Bacterial small subunit ribosomal RNA", at positions 28 to 507 of the family's 1533-position model. The record is from RNAcentral.
GACGAACGCUGGCGGCGUGCCUAACACAUGCAAGUCGAACGGAAAGGCCCUGCUUUUGUUGGGUGCUCGAUUGGCGAACGCGUGAGUAACACGUGUGUAACCUGCCCUUGACUUUGGGAUAUCUUCAGGAAACUCGGGCUAAUAUCGGAUAGGAGCUCCUGCUGCAUGGUGGGCGUUGGAAAGUUUCGGCUGUUGGGGAUGGACUCGCGGCUUACCAGCUUGUUGGUGGGGUUGUUGCUUACCAAGGCUUUGACGGGUAGCCGGCCUGAGAGGGUGAACGGGCACAAUGGGACUGAGAUAGGGAGCAGACUCGUACGGGAGGCAGCAGUGGGGAAUAUUGCACAAUGGGCGGAAGCGUGAUGCGGCAGCGCCGCGUGCGGGAUGACGGCCUUUGGGGUGUAAACCGCUGUCGCCUGUGACGAAGCGUGAGUGACGGUAAUGGGUAAAGAAGCACCGGCUAACUACGUG